This 117-nucleotide non-coding RNA is filed under the name unclassified sequences. RNAcentral's name for it is "SAM-I-IV sequence". It matches the Rfam family "SAM-I/IV (S-adenosyl methionine) riboswitch aptamer". From Rfam's summary of the family: It is found upstream of a number of genes which code for proteins involved in methionine or cysteine biosynthesis. It has been found mostly in the order Actinomycetales. The record is from Rfam by way of RNAcentral.
UGACAGCAUCAGGAGAGAUUUCUAAAAAGAAAUCCACCAACCGAGCUUAAAAGCUACGGUGGUUAGUUCCAUUAAACGGAAGAUGUGCCUCAAUAGAGGAAAAAUGGAACCGCCUGA